UACAGAGGGUGCGAGCGUUGUCCGGAAUCACUGGGCGUAAAGGGCGCGUAGGUGGUUGGGUAAGCGUGUGGUGAAAGCCCGGGGCUCAACCCCGGGUCGGCCAUGCGAACUGCCCGACUAGAGCACGGUAGAGGCCAAUGGAAUUCCGGGUGUAGAGGUGGAAUGCGUAGAGAUCCGGAAGAACACCGGUGGCGAAGGCGGUUGGCUGGGCCGUGGCUGACACUGAUGCGCGACAGCGUGGGGAGCAAACAGG
Molecule: ribosomal RNA, 253 nt
Filed under: uncultured bacterium
Lineage: Bacteria
Description: partial 16S ribosomal RNA
Rfam family: Bacterial small subunit ribosomal RNA
Source: RNAcentral